GCCCCGAGGUGAUUGGCAUGUUGAAUUGCAAAUUCAAAGGAGCAGUAUCAAGUCUCUGCCGGGGCUUC
Molecule: transfer RNA, 68 nt
Filed under: Erythrocebus patas (red guenon)
Lineage: Eukaryota; Metazoa; Chordata; Mammalia; Primates; Cercopithecidae
Description: tRNA-Cys
Source: RNAcentral